Molecule: transfer RNA, 67 nt
Filed under: Haplodiplatys aotouensis
Lineage: Eukaryota; Metazoa; Arthropoda; Insecta; Dermaptera; Haplodiplatyidae
Description: tRNA-Cys
Source: RNAcentral
AAGUUUAAGUAAAAUAUUACUACUUUAAAAUUGCAUUCUAAUAUUAUUUUUUUUUAACUAUUAAACU